This 817-nucleotide ribosomal RNA is filed under the name uncultured bacterium. RNAcentral describes it as "bacterial SSU rRNA". It matches the Rfam family "Bacterial small subunit ribosomal RNA", at positions 28 to 828 of the family's 1533-position model. The record is from RNAcentral.
AAUUAACGCUGGCGGCAUGCGUAACACAUGCAAGUCGUACGAGAAAGCCCGGUUCGCCGGGCGAGUAAAGUGGCGCACGGGUGAGUAACGCGUGGGUAAUCUACCCCGGUCUGGGGGAUAACGCACCGAAAGGUACGCUAAUACCGCAUGACCCGACGGGUCCCUGGACCCAUCGGCAAAGGUGGCCUCUGCAUGCAAGCUACCGAACCGGGAUGAGCCCGCGUCCUAUUAGCUUGUUGGUGGGGUAAUGGCCCACCAAGGCGACGAUGGGUAGCUGGUCUGAGAGGACGGCCAGCCACACUGGAACUGGUACACGGUCCAGACUCCUACGGGAGGCAGCAGUGAGGAAUAUUGCGCAAUGGGGGAAACCCUGACGCAGCGAUGCUGCGUGGGUGAAGAAGGCCUUCGGGUCGUAAAGCCCUGUCAGGCGGGAAGAAUAGCCCCGGGGCUAAUAUCUCCGGGGUGUGACGGUACCGCUGAAGGAAGCACCGGCUAACUCCGUGCCAGCAGCCGCGGUAAGACGGAGGGUGCGAGCGUUAUUCGGAAUUAUUGGGCGUAAAGGGCGUGCAGGCGGCCGGCCAAGUCUGAUGUGAAAGCCCGGGGCUUAAACUCGGAAGGGCGUUGGGAACUGGUUGGCUUGAGUUCGGGAGAGGGAAGCGGAAUUUCCGGUGUAAAGGUGAAUUCGUAAAAUCCGGAGGGACACGGUGGCGAAGGCGGUUUUCUGGACCGAACUGACGCUGAGAAGCAAAGCGGGGGGAAGCAACAGAUUAAAUACCCUGGUAGUCACGCUGUAAACGAUGGGACAUAGGGUGGGGGG